Molecule: ribosomal RNA, 2903 nt
Filed under: Escherichia coli
Lineage: Bacteria; Pseudomonadati; Pseudomonadota; Gammaproteobacteria; Enterobacterales; Enterobacteriaceae
Description: 23S ribosomal RNA
Rfam family: Bacterial large subunit ribosomal RNA
Source: RNAcentral
GGUUAAGCGACUAAGCGUACACGGUGGAUGCCCUGGCAGUCAGAGGCGAUGAAGGACGUGCUAAUCUGCGAUAAGCGUCGGUAAGGUGAUAUGAACCGUUAUAACCGGCGAUUUCCGAAUGGGGAAACCCAGUGUGUUUCGACACACUAUCAUUAACUGAAUCCAUAGGUUAAUGAGGCGAACCGGGGGAACUGAAACAUCUAAGUACCCCGAGGAAAAGAAAUCAACCGAGAUUCCCCCAGUAGCGGCGAGCGAACGGGGAGCAGCCCAGAGCCUGAAUCAGUGUGUGUGUUAGUGGAAGCGUCUGGAAAGGCGCGCGAUACAGGGUGACAGCCCCGUACACAAAAAUGCACAUGCUGUGAGCUCGAUGAGUAGGGCGGGACACGUGGUAUCCUGUCUGAAUAUGGGGGGACCAUCCUCCAAGGCUAAAUACUCCUGACUGACCGAUAGUGAACCAGUACCGUGAGGGAAAGGCGAAAAGAACCCCGGCGAGGGGAGUGAAAAAGAACCUGAAACCGUGUACGUACAAGCAGUGGGAGCCUCUUUAUGGGGUGACUGCGUACCUUUUGUAUAAUGGGUCAGCGACUUAUAUUCUGUAGCAAGGUUAACCGAAUAGGGGAGCCGAAGGGAAACCGAGUCUUAACUGGGCGUUAAGUUGCAGGGUAUAGACCCGAAACCCGGUGAUCUAGCCAUGGGCAGGUUGAAGGUUGGGUAACACUAACUGGAGGACCGAACCGACUAAUGUUGAAAAAUUAGCGGAUGACUUGUGGCUGGGGGUGAAAGGCCAAUCAAACCGGGAGAUAGCUGGUUCUCCCCGAAAGCUAUUUAGGUAGCGCCUCGUGAACUCAUCUCCGGGGGUAGAGCACUGUUUCGGCAAGGGGGUCAUCCCGACUUACCAACCCGAUGCAAACUGCGAAUACCGGAGAAUGUUAUCACGGGAGACACACGGCGGGUGCUAACGUCCGUCGUGAAGAGGGAAACAACCCAGACCGCCAGCUAAGGUCCCAAAGUCAUGGUUAAGUGGGAAACGAUGUGGGAAGGCCCAGACAGCCAGGAUGUUGGCUUAGAAGCAGCCAUCAUUUAAAGAAAGCGUAAUAGCUCACUGGUCGAGUCGGCCUGCGCGGAAGAUGUAACGGGGCUAAACCAUGCACCGAAGCUGCGGCAGCGACGCUUAUGCGUUGUUGGGUAGGGGAGCGUUCUGUAAGCCUGUGAAGGUGUGCUGUGAGGCAUGCUGGAGGUAUCAGAAGUGCGAAUGCUGACAUAAGUAACGAUAAAGCGGGUGAAAAGCCCGCUCGCCGGAAGACCAAGGGUUCCUGUCCAACGUUAAUCGGGGCAGGGUGAGUCGACCCCUAAGGCGAGGCCGAAAGGCGUAGUCGAUGGGAAACAGGUUAAUAUUCCUGUACUUGGUGUUACUGCGAAGGGGGGACGGAGAAGGCUAUGUUGGCCGGGCGACGGUUGUCCCGGUUUAAGCGUGUAGGCUGGUUUUCCAGGCAAAUCCGGAAAAUCAAGGCUGAGGCGUGAUGACGAGGCACUACGGUGCUGAAGCAACAAAUGCCCUGCUUCCAGGAAAAGCCUCUAAGCAUCAGGUAACAUCAAAUCGUACCCCAAACCGACACAGGUGGUCAGGUAGAGAAUACCAAGGCGCUUGAGAGAACUCGGGUGAAGGAACUAGGCAAAAUGGUGCCGUAACUUCGGGAGAAGGCACGCUGAUAUGUAGGUGAAGCGACUUGCUCGUGGAGCUGAAAUCAGUCGAAGAUACCAGCUGGCUGCAACUGUUUAUUAAAAACACAGCACUGUGCAAACACGAAAGUGGACGUAUACGGUGUGACGCCUGCCCGGUGCCGGAAGGUUAAUUGAUGGGGUUAGCGCAAGCGAAGCUCUUGAUCGAAGCCCCGGUAAACGGCGGCCGUAACUAUAACGGUCCUAAGGUAGCGAAAUUCCUUGUCGGGUAAGUUCCGACCUGCACGAAUGGCGUAAUGAUGGCCAGGCUGUCUCCACCCGAGACUCAGUGAAAUUGAACUCGCUGUGAAGAUGCAGUGUACCCGCGGCAAGACGGAAAGACCCCGUGAACCUUUACUAUAGCUUGACACUGAACAUUGAGCCUUGAUGUGUAGGAUAGGUGGGAGGCUUUGAAGUGUGGACGCCAGUCUGCAUGGAGCCGACCUUGAAAUACCACCCUUUAAUGUUUGAUGUUCUAACGUUGACCCGUAAUCCGGGUUGCGGACAGUGUCUGGUGGGUAGUUUGACUGGGGCGGUCUCCUCCUAAAGAGUAACGGAGGAGCACGAAGGUUGGCUAAUCCUGGUCGGACAUCAGGAGGUUAGUGCAAUGGCAUAAGCCAGCUUGACUGCGAGCGUGACGGCGCGAGCAGGUGCGAAAGCAGGUCAUAGUGAUCCGGUGGUUCUGAAUGGAAGGGCCAUCGCUCAACGGAUAAAAGGUACUCCGGGGAUAACAGGCUGAUACCGCCCAAGAGUUCAUAUCGACGGCGGUGUUUGGCACCUCGAUGUCGGCUCAUCACAUCCUGGGGCUGAAGUAGGUCCCAAGGGUAUGGCUGUUCGCCAUUUAAAGUGGUACGCGAGCUGGGUUUAGAACGUCGUGAGACAGUUCGGUCCCUAUCUGCCGUGGGCGCUGGAGAACUGAGGGGGGCUGCUCCUAGUACGAGAGGACCGGAGUGGACGCAUCACUGGUGUUCGGGUUGUCAUGCCAAUGGCACUGCCCGGUAGCUAAAUGCGGAAGAGAUAAGUGCUGAAAGCAUCUAAGCACGAAACUUGCCCCGAGAUGAGUUCUCCCUGACUCCUUGAGAGUCCUGAAGGAACGUUGAAGACGACGACGUUGAUAGGCCGGGUGUGUAAGCGCAGCGAUGCGUUGAGCUAACCGGUACUAAUGAACCGUGAGGCUUAACCUU